RNAcentral lists this ribosomal RNA (230 nucleotides) under uncultured microorganism. RNAcentral describes it as "partial 16S ribosomal RNA". It matches the Rfam family "Bacterial small subunit ribosomal RNA", at positions 524 to 754 of the family's 1533-position model. The record is from RNAcentral.
UACGUAGGGGGCAAGCGUUGUCCGGAAUUAUUGGGCGUAAAGCGCGCGCAGGCGGCCGCUUAAGUUUGGUGUUUAAGCCCGGGGCUCAACCCCGGUUCGCACUGAAAACUGGGUGGCUUGAGUGCAGGAGAGGAAAGCGGAAUUCCACGUGUAGCGGUGAAAUGCGUAGAGAUGUGGAGGAACACCAGUGGCGAAGGCGGCUUUCUGGACUGUAACUGACGCUGAGGCGC